AAGACGGUCUUGCUGUCACUUAUAGAUGGAUCCGCGCUGCAUUAGCUAGUUGGUAAGGUAACGGCUUACCAAGGCAACGAUGCAUAGCCGACCUGAGAGGGUGAUCGGCCACACUGGAACUGAGACACGGUCCAGACUCCUACGGGAGGCAGCAGUAGGGAAUCUUCCGCAAUGGGCGAAAGCCUGACGGAGCAACGCCGCGUGAGUGAUGAAGGUCUUCGGAUCGUAAAACUCUGUUAUUAGGGAAGAACAUAUGUGUAAGUAACUGUGCACAUCUUGACGGUACCUAAUCAGAAAGCCACGGCUAACUACGUGCCAGCAGCCGCGGUAAUACGUAGGUGGCAAGCGUUAUCCGGAAUUAUUGGGCGUAAAGCGCGCGUAGGCGGUUUUUUAAGUCUGAUGUGAAAGCCCACGGCUCAACCGUGGAGGGUCAUUGGAAACUGGAAAACUUGAGUGCAGAAGAGGAAAGUGGAAUUCCAUGUGU
This 484-nucleotide ribosomal RNA is filed under the name Staphylococcus aureus. RNAcentral describes it as "bacterial SSU rRNA". It matches the Rfam family "Bacterial small subunit ribosomal RNA", at positions 202 to 676 of the family's 1533-position model. The record is from RNAcentral. Lineage: Bacteria; Bacillati; Bacillota; Bacilli; Caryophanales; Staphylococcaceae.